This 95-nucleotide microRNA precursor is filed under the name Otolemur garnettii (small-eared galago). RNAcentral's name for it is "miRNA (ENSOGAG00000034510.1)". The record is from RNAcentral. Lineage: Eukaryota; Metazoa; Chordata; Mammalia; Primates; Galagidae.
CUUUGAAGCUUUGCAACCAGGCAUUGACUUCUCCCUAGGUAUGGAAGUCCCAGCUAGAUGGCAGCUGCUUCUAAGGCUAUGGAAUCUGCAUUAGA